Gavialis gangeticus (Gharial) is the source of this 1248-nucleotide long non-coding RNA. RefSeq lists it as uncharacterized. The transcript has 2 exons. NCBI's taxonomy places the organism in Eukaryota, Metazoa, Chordata, Crocodylia, Gavialidae. The record is from RefSeq and is a predicted model, not a curated record.
UUAAUCAAAUCUGCUUGGACGUGCUGUAAUUAGAGUGUGUCAGAGCAGUCUCACUGCACAUAUAUAGGUGCCCACAAGUACCUAAGAAGAGGAUGUCAGGUGUGCAGAACAGGAAACAAAAAGCUUAGUUAAUGACUACAAUGAAUAAAAAUGCAGACUUAAUGAAAAAAUAUUUGAAAUUUGUUAAUGACAGCCCCGGGCAGUAGUAGUGACAUGGUCACAUCAGGGACGUCAAAUGAAAAAUGCAUUGACAAUCCACAAUUCAACUUCCAAGAAUCAUCACAAGAAACACAAAAAGACCCAAAUGAAACAGAAAUUCUACAUCUGGACCAAAAUAAUGAUGAUCACUGGUUAUAAAAAUAAAAUGAUUCCCAUUAUAGACACUGGUGAUACCAUUUCUGAUCCUGCUUUAUGGCCCAAUCUAAUGCCCAAAAUUUGAGAUCUGCUAGUGGCCAAUGGUCCACCAGAAGUAAAGGGCAUGGACUUACCUCUGGGUAAGAAGAAUUGCCACUUUUCUGUGACAUUUUUUAUUCAGAAAUCUUGAAAAUGGCAAAGUUCUGAAGUGGUACUCAUUGCUUUACUCAGAGUCCACUGACAAGGUUUUCUGUUUCUGCUGCAAGGUCUUUGAUUUGAAUCCAAAAUCAUCCCUAGCAUUUGAGGAGUUAAAUGAUUGGCAGCAUAUGUCUCAGAUUCUCAUGUGUCAUGAAAAGUUGACUAGUCAUAUCAAUUCCUGCUGAAUGUAGGUUAAAGCAGAGCAAAGGAUAAAAUAGGAUCCUGUUAGAUUCACUGUUAGGUUCCUUGACACUUCAGAUGGCAAAGUGACCAUUCAGGAGCACUUUUUUGGUUUCAAAACAGUGGAAAAGUCCACAGGGGAAGGACUAACUCAUACUAUACUUACUACUCUGAAGAAAUAUGACAUAAAUAUCCGAGACUGCCAGGGCCAAGAGUAUGACAAUGGUGUAAAUAUGAAGGGGAAAACAAGGGUGUAUCGGCAAGAAUCCUGAAUCAAAACCCAAGAGCAUUUUUCUUUCUAUGUGGAUGCCACACAGUCUUGUGGUGGCGGAUACUGCAAAAUCUUCAGUGAAGUCCAAGUCCCUCUUUGGGAUUCUGCAAAAGAUCUACAUUCUGUUCUCUGUCCCUGUUCAUUGUUGGAAGAAUUUCACAGAUCAUGUCAAUGUCACUGCUAAGCCAGUAAAUGAAACAUGCUGCGAAUGCAGAAUUGAAAGCUUUAAAGCUAUUUGAUACCAA